Molecule: long non-coding RNA, 1045 nt
Filed under: Pan troglodytes (chimpanzee)
Lineage: Eukaryota; Metazoa; Chordata; Mammalia; Primates; Hominidae
Description: long non-coding RNA NONPTRT002473
Source: RNAcentral
AGGCUGAGGCAGGAGGAUCCCUUAAAGCUAGGGAGUCAAGGCUGCAGUGAGCCGAGAUCGUGCCACUGCACUCCAGCCUGGGUGACGGAGACCCUGUCUCAAAAAAGAAAAGAAAACAAGUAUUGGGUGGAGAGAGGACCAAGCCCAAUUACUACUUUAGUGCGGCUGCCCCGUCCCGUCUGGUGACCACGCACUUCUGUGAUGGCCUCAGCGGCUGCCUCCUCCAGGACACCUUCUCUGACUACCUACUUCCCAGGACCAGCCUGUCCCAGUCACCCCCGGAACAGACUGAGUCACAGCGGAUUCCUCUCAGACACCCAUGAGGGUAAAGGAGGGGCUCCUGCCAGCUUUGUCCCAGGACCCACAGCCCCACACGUGCCUGACAGCGCUGGAGGCCAUGGGAGGUGCACAGGCAUCUGGGGGUCCUGGGGGUGCUGACAGCCCUGGGGCAGGGCGACCUCUGACCAUCAGCCUCCCAGGCGUGGAGAGGAGGAGCUGUGGAAACCUGGGAUCCCAACAGACGCGUGGUGCUUGGCUUCUGUUUCACGGGAAGUUGGGGAAGAGUAAGUGGCCCCCACAAUUCCAGGGAAUACCCCCACUCCAUUCCUGCAGGGCCUGGCGCAGGAAGCCAGGUGGCAUCACUGCUGGCGGGGGUCACUGUGCCAGGGGGCUCCCACGGUGCCUCCCCCACCAGGCGGGGGUUCAGCUACUUCCUGCGGCUGUGCUCUCUGCAGAGAUGCUGGUGUUCUCAGCUUUGGGGGAUUAUUCUUAAGAGGUGCAGGUCCUCAAUUCCCUGCCACCUUUAUGUUGGUUAAAACCCAAAGGAGCAGGCCCAGCCCUGCUGUCUCAUGGAGGUCAACCCACGGCCCGCCUGCCCGGACAGGGCAAGGCCAAGCAGGGCCUCUGAGAUGCCUCCACCUUGCGGCAAUUGCAGACCCUGCUGGGUUGGACGAAAAGCCAUUGUAGAGUCUCAGAGGAAGGGCCAGGCGGGGUGAGGGUCAGAGGAAGGGCCAGACGGGGUGAGGGUCACAUGAAGGGCCAGGCG